Molecule: long non-coding RNA, 1924 nt
Filed under: Mytilus galloprovincialis (Mediterranean mussel)
Lineage: Eukaryota; Metazoa; Mollusca; Bivalvia; Mytilida; Mytilidae
Source: RNAcentral
UGUAUUUGUAAGAAAGCAGUGAUAACAAAGAAAACAAAAGAGAAAAUCGCAUCAUCUAAAGAGAAAGAAACAUGUAAGUUGAUUGUUACUUUAAACAUUCUGAUAUACGUAUAUGAUUAUGAAUGACAAAUAAUACAUGUUUUUUUAACCACAAAUAAAACUUAUUUUAUUUCUGAAAUCUUUGUUAAUAAAAUUAACGGUACCAAUUUUCUUGCACCAGAUGCGCAUUUCGACAAUACAUGUCUCUUCAGUGAUGCUCGUGGCCAAAAUAUUUGGAAAUCCAAAGCUAAUAUAAAAGAUGAAGAGCUAUAAUCCAAAAGGUCAAAAAAGUAUAGCCAAAUCCGUGAAAGUAAUCAGAGCUUUGCAUGAGGGAGAUACAUUCCUUAAUUUAUAAUAAUUUCUAAUAUUUUGUAACAGCAAAUUUUAAUAACACAAAAAAUCCGUAUGUUCAUGCCAGUACCGAAGUACUGGCUACUGGGCUGGUGAUACCCUCGGGGACUAAUAGUCUACCAGCAGAGGCAUCGACCCAGUGGUAGUAAUAAAAUUAACGGUACCAAUUUUCUUGCACCAGAUGCGCAUUUCGACAAUACAUGUCUCUUCAGUGAUGCUCGUGGCCAAAAUAUUUGAAAUCCAAAGCUUAUAUAAAAGAUGAAGAGCUAGAAUCCAAAAGGUCCAAAAAGUAUAGCCAAAUCCGUGAAAGGAAUCAGAGCUUUGCAUGAGGGAGAUACAUUCCUUAAUAUAUAAUAAUUUCUAAUAUUGUUAAAUGUGAAGAUUGCAUUUAUAACCCUUAUCAAUGGAAAAGUGUAUUUUCGAGUUUUCCUUGUUACAUACUGUUUCAGAAUGUUGUUUAAUUAUUUUUAGGUCAUACAAAUUUAAAAGAAUUGGACAAAAUGCACAAUAAAUUACUUUAAGUUAGUAACAUAAUAGCAAUCCUUAAUGCCACAUCGGAUUCGAAAUUUGAAAAUAUAUACAUGAUAUAUGCAUAAUUAAAAUGUUAAAUAUUAUAAUACCGAUAAUGCUGUUGUAUUUAGAUUUGAUUUAGAUUUUUUACUAGAAUUAUUCAUUUAGUUAGAACAUUUUUUUACAUGGUUCUCUUUCCUGUAUCCAUAUCUACCCUCAAUUUUCCGGCUAAACUUAGCUAGCACAGUGAAGUCUAACAAUUUAAAUAGAUGUUGGAAGAUGUGGUAUGAGUGCAUUAUCCCUAUGGCAUCGCAUUGUAUAGUCUAGUUUAAACAAGAGUCUUUUAGGAUUUAUUAUAUUCAUAAGAAGUAUACAUUGAGUACUAAUUUGUUCAUUUCUUUAUUACAGGGGCAGUAAAAUAAUUUUUAUGAAGAUUUGCUACACUGGAUAAGAAUUAAACAAAAGACAUAUUCAGAAAAAAGUUCCAAAUGAAAGUGUAGCAGAAAACAAAAGGAACACUCUUGUGAAUACAACCCAUGUUAGAUUACAAAACUUGGAAAUAACUGUAUAAACCUAAUGAAGUGAAAUUACAGAACUAGGAAGUAAGUGUAUGAACAUGAUGAAGUGAAUUACAAAACUUUGAAAUAAUUGUAUGAACCGAAUGAAGUGAAAUUACAGAACUAGGAAAUAACUGUAUGAACCUAAUGAAGUGAAAUUACAGAACUAGGAAAUAACUGUAUGAACCUGAUGAAGUGAAUUAUAUAACUAUGAAAUAACUGUAUGAACCUGAUGAAGUGAAAUUACAGAACAAGGAAAUAAUUGGAUGAAUCUGAUGAAGUGAAUUACAGUACUCGGAAGUAAUUGUAUGAACAUGAUGAAGUGAAAUUAUAGAACUAGGAAAUAACUGUAUGAACCUGAUGUCAGAAGUGAAUUACAAAACUAGGAAAUAACUACAUAUGAACCUGAUGAAGUGAAUUACAUUUACAGAAAUGAAACAUCAUGACUAUACUUUAUAAUUUUCAUU